ACGGGGUCUAAUACCGGAUAUGACCUUCCUCCGCAUGGGGGUUGGUGGAAAGCUCCGGCGGUGCAGGAUGAGCCCGCGGCCUAUCAGCUUGUUGGUGGGGUAAUGGCCUACCAAGGCGACGACGGGUAGCCGGCCUGAGAGGGCGACCGGCCACACUGGGACUGAGACACGGCCCAGACUCCUACGGGAGGCAGCAGUGGGGAAUAUUGCACAAUGGGCGAAAGCCUGAUGCAGCGACGCCGCGUGAGGGAUGACGGCCUUCGGGUUGUAAACCUCUUUCAGCAGGGAAGAAGCGCAAGUGACGGUACCUGCAGAAGAAGCACCGGCUAACUACGUGCCAGCAGCCGCGGUAAUACGUAGGGUGCGAGCGUUGUCCGGAAUUAUUGGGCGUAAAGAGCUCGUAGGCGGCCUGUCGCGUCGGAUGUGAAAGCCCGGGGCUUAACCCCGGGUCUGCAUUCGAUACGGGCAGGCUAGAGUGUGGUAGGGGAGAUCGGAAUUCCUGGUGUAGC
Molecule: ribosomal RNA, 509 nt
Filed under: Kitasatospora aburaviensis
Lineage: Bacteria; Bacillati; Actinomycetota; Actinomycetes; Kitasatosporales; Streptomycetaceae
Description: bacterial SSU rRNA
Rfam family: Bacterial small subunit ribosomal RNA
Source: RNAcentral